RNAcentral lists this ribosomal RNA (730 nucleotides) under uncultured bacterium. RNAcentral's name for it is "bacterial SSU rRNA". It matches the Rfam family "Bacterial small subunit ribosomal RNA", at positions 771 to 1501 of the family's 1533-position model. The record is from RNAcentral.
AACAGGAUUAGAUACCCUGGUAGUCCACGCCGUAAACGAUGUCGACUUGGAGGUUGUGCCCUUGAGGCGUGGCUUCCGGAGCUAACGCGUUAAGUCGACCGCCUGGGGAGUACGGCCGCAAGGUUAAAACUCAAAUGAAUUGACGGGGGCCCGCACAAGCGGUGGAGCAUGUGGUUUAAUUCGAUGCAACGCGAAGAACCUUACCUACUCUUGACAUCCAGAGAACUUAGCAGAGAUGCUUUGGUGCCUUCGGGAACUCUGAGACAGGUGCUGCAUGGCUGUCGUCAGCUCGUGUUGUGAAAUGUUGGGUUAAGUCCCGCAACGAGCGCAACCCUUAUCCUUUGUUGCCAGCGGUUAGGCCGGGAACUCAAAGGAGACUGCCAGUGAUAAACUGGAGGAAGGUGGGGAUGACGUCAAGUCAUCAUGGCCCUUACGAGUAGGGCUACACACGUGCUACAAUGGCGCAUACAAAGAGAAGCGACCUCGCGAGAGCAAGCGGACCUCAUAAAGUGCGUCGUAGUCCGGAUUGGAGUCUGCAACUCGACUCCAUGAAGUCGGAAUCGCUAGUAAUCGUAGAUCAGAAUGCUACGGUGAAUACGUUCCCGGGCCUUGUACACACCGCCCGUCACACCAUGGGAGUGGGUUGCAAAAGAAGUAGGUAGCUUAACCUUCGGGAGGGCGCUUACCACUUUGUGAUUCAUGACUGGGGUGAAGUCGUAACAAGGUAACC